Molecule: ribosomal RNA, 320 nt
Filed under: uncultured eukaryote
Lineage: Eukaryota
Description: partial 18S ribosomal RNA
Rfam family: Eukaryotic small subunit ribosomal RNA
Source: RNAcentral
CCCUUAGAUGUUCUGGGCCGCACGCGCGCUACACUGAACAGUUCAACAAGUCUUAACCUUGGCCGAUAGGUCUGGGUAAUCUUUGAACGCUGUUCGUGAUUGGGAUAGACCUUUGCAAUUAUGGGUCUUCAACGAGGAAUUCCUAGUAAACGCAAGUCAUCAGCUUGCAUUGAUUACGUCCCUGCCCUUUGUACACACCGCCCGUCGCACCUACCGAUUGAAUGGUCCGGUGAAAUCUCGGGACGGCGGCUUGGUCGCUUGCGUCGGACUGCUGAAACUUGAUUAAACCAUAUCAUUUAGAGGAAGGUGAAGUCGUANCA